RNAcentral lists this long non-coding RNA (688 nucleotides) under Marmota monax (woodchuck). Lineage: Eukaryota; Metazoa; Chordata; Mammalia; Rodentia; Sciuridae. The record is from RNAcentral.
AGAGUAUGUGUGUUCUUAUCUAACUAUCCUCAUUCAGGUAAACAGGCAGGUAACCCUAAACAGCUCAUCCCACCAACAUCCUGAGAGGCAGACAGGUAGACCUGCCCACCUGCCUUCAGCCAUGGGAAGCACACAUUACCUGCCCCAAUCCACCAGAGCAUCCCUGCAUCCACACAACCUAUGGAAAUUGAGAGCUGCCUCACAUCUGAAGCUGCAUGAACCACACACACAGCCACUGACAAGUCUCAGCUACACCCCACUAAGAGAGAUACAUCCUACCUUAUGAAUAAGCCCCAAAUUCUUGUAUUCUGGGCCACUGAGACAAUAACAGACCUCACAGACAUGGAUGGCUGGUGAAGAAUGUACAUGUAGACUCUACCACUGUGGCCACCUGGUAUAUCUAAUGCAAUCCAAUGAAAUCAACCCAACCAACACCAUAAAAUUAUUGCCAAAAUAAAAAUUUUAAUGCACUGUUGAGAGCCACAGCUGAAGGGGCCCCAGCAAACUUCCAGCUGAUUGGCUCACAGAGGCCCCAGCAAACUUCCAGCUACCAGCUGAUUGGCUUCUCUGUGGUGAUGCUCAUUGGGCUGUUUCCCCGCCCUUUCAGACCACAGAGCUGCUCAUUGGGGACUCUAUUGGCUCUGCCCACACAACUCAGCCAAUCGGCCUCAAGAGCAGGAGGAGGGGG